UCAUAUAUAUAUAAAUCAUAUAAAUAUAAUUAAAAAAAAAACAAUUAUUAUACUAAAUCACUACUUCCUAAGUACUAAAAAGGAAAUUUAAAUAAAUUAAAGUAAUGAUAUAAUCAUGUACCUUUUGCAUUAUGGUUUUACAAGCUAAAAUUUAAAAAGAAAAUCCCGAAUUCUAAGAGAGCUGUUUUAUCAUUGCUAAGAGCCCACUACUAGUUGUAGCAAUAACUUUAAAAAAUGUUAAAACAGAGGCUACAUACCACCCGCGCUAGAAAAUUGCUGGUUCUUGAUAAACCUUAUUUAUUAAAUCAUGAAAUAAAUGUUUCAAUGUAAGAUUUCAGAGGAUAAGCCCUGCAGUCAUAUGCCACUAAAUUUUAUAUAUUAAAAUUAGGCCUAAAAUCAGCCAUAAAUCACUUUACCGUAUUACACCCCUAAUAAUUAUUUAAGAUGCCCCACAAAAUCAAGAAUUUAGAUAAACAUAUCGUCUUAAAUUACUAUGUAAAAAUAAGUAUUAAUUUAAAUUAUCAACAUAUAAACAAAUCAAAAUUAUAAAGAU
RNAcentral lists this ribosomal RNA (553 nucleotides) under Dendrobaena octaedra. Its description in RNAcentral is "partial 16S ribosomal RNA". Lineage: Eukaryota; Metazoa; Annelida; Clitellata; Crassiclitellata; Lumbricidae. The record is from RNAcentral.